This 474-nucleotide ribosomal RNA is filed under the name uncultured Desulfobacula sp. Its description in RNAcentral is "bacterial SSU rRNA". It matches the Rfam family "Bacterial small subunit ribosomal RNA", at positions 29 to 477 of the family's 1533-position model. Lineage: Bacteria; Pseudomonadati; Thermodesulfobacteriota; Desulfobacteria; Desulfobacterales; Desulfobacteraceae. The record is from RNAcentral.
AAUGAACGCUGGCGGCGUGCCUAACACAUGCAAGUCGAACGAGAAAGGGAUUGCUUGCGAUCCUGAGUAGAGUGGCGCACGGGUGAGUAACACGUAGAUAAUCUACCUUCAAGCCCGGGAUAACUAUUCGAAAGGAUAGCUAAUACCGGAUGAAGUGGUUUGACAUAUGUUGAAUCAUAAAAGAUUGCCUCUUCUUGAAAGCAAUUGUUUGGAGAUGAGUUUGCGGACCAUUAGUUUGUUGGUGGGGUAAAGGCCUACCAAGACUACGAUGGUUAGCUGGUCUGAGAGGAUGAUCAGCCACACUGGAACUGGUACACGGUCCAGACUCCUACGGGAGGCAGCAGUGAGGAAUUUUGCGCAAUGGGGGCAACCCUGACGCAGCAACGCCGCGUGAGUGAAGAAGGCCUUUGGGUCGUAAAGCUCUGUCGAUAGGGAAGAAGUUACAGAUAUCCAAUAGGUAUGUGUAUGACGGUA